UACGUAGGUGGCAAGCGUUGUCCGGAUUUACUGGGCGUAAAGAGCGCGCAGGCGGUUGGAUAAGUCGAAUGUGAAAGCCCCCGGCUCAACUGGGGAGGGUCAUUCGAUACUGUCCAACUUGAAGGCAGGAGAGGGCAGCAGAAUUCCCGGUGUAGUGGUGAAAUGCGUAGAUAUCGGGAGGAAUACCAGUGGCGAAGGCGGCAUCCUGGACCGAGAUUGACGCUGAGGCGCGAAAGCCAGGGGAGCAAACGGG
RNAcentral lists this ribosomal RNA (253 nucleotides) under uncultured bacterium. Its description in RNAcentral is "partial 16S ribosomal RNA". It matches the Rfam family "Bacterial small subunit ribosomal RNA", at positions 524 to 776 of the family's 1533-position model. The record is from RNAcentral.